CCUACUGUGUGCAGCAGUGAGGAAUCUUGGUCAAUGGGCGCGAGCCUGAACCAGCCAAGUCGCGUGAGGGAUGACUGUCCUAUGGGUUGUAAACUUCUUUUAUCGUGGAAUACAAUACGCCCCGUGUGGUAUUUUGUGUGUACCCUAUGAAUAAGGAUCGGCUAACUCCGUGCCAGCAACCGCGGUAAUCCGGAGGAUGCGAGUGUUAUCCGGAUUUAUUGGGUUUAAAGGGAGCGUAGGUGGAUUGUUAAGUCAGUUGUGAAAGUUUGCGGCUCACCCUCAAAAGUGCCGUUGAACCAGGCAGUCUUGAGUAAGUGAGAGGUGGGCGGAAUGCGUGGGGUAGCGGUGAAAUGCUUAGAUAGCACGAAGAACUCCGAUUGCGAAGGCAGCUUAACGGAGUGCAACUGACACUGAUGCUCGAAAGUGUGGGUAUCAAACAGGAUGAGAUACCCGAGUAGUC
RNAcentral lists this ribosomal RNA (460 nucleotides) under uncultured bacterium. RNAcentral's name for it is "partial 16S ribosomal RNA". It matches the Rfam family "Bacterial small subunit ribosomal RNA", at positions 338 to 795 of the family's 1533-position model. The record is from RNAcentral.